UCGUUAAUUAAGAAGGCCAGAAUUUUCCUUCUACAAUUUAGUGGUGCUAGGACUGCCGUGUCUGUUCGGGUAAGUGGCUGAGCAUUAGAAGGCUUAACUUCGGUUUAUUAAGGUGUAAUACCACCGGUUGUGAUUGGAAGAAUUAUUGGAUAUUGGUGAUUCAAUGCUAAAAUAGAUCAUUUGUAUGAUUUUUUUAUGUACUGAAAAUUUC
Molecule: long non-coding RNA, 211 nt
Filed under: Gossypium barbadense (sea-island cotton)
Lineage: Eukaryota; Viridiplantae; Streptophyta; Magnoliopsida; Malvales; Malvaceae
Description: long non-coding RNA (GBAR_LNC004177)
Source: RNAcentral